UACGGAGGAUCCAAGCGUUAUCCGGAAUUACUGGGCGUAAAGAGUUGCGUAGGUUGCAUAGUAAGUUGGUAGUGAAAUAGUUCCGCUCAACGGAAUAAACAUUAUCAAAACUGCUAAGCUAGAGUAUGAGAGAGGUCACUGGAAUUCCUAGUGUAGGAGUGAAAUCCGUAGAUAUUAGGAGGAACACCAAUGGCGUAGGCAGGUGACUGGCUCAUUACUGACACUAAGGCACGAAAGCGUGGGGAGCGAACAGG
This 254-nucleotide ribosomal RNA is filed under the name uncultured bacterium. RNAcentral's name for it is "partial 16S ribosomal RNA". It matches the Rfam family "Bacterial small subunit ribosomal RNA", at positions 524 to 776 of the family's 1533-position model. The record is from RNAcentral.